GACGAACGCUGGCGGCGUGCCUAACACAUGCAAGUCGAACGGUAACAGGUCUUCGGACGCUGACGAGUGGCGAACGGGUGAGUAAUACAUCGGAACGUGCCCAGUCGUGGGGGAUAACUACUCGAAAGAGUAGCUAAUACCGCAUACGAUCUGAGGAUGAAAGCGGGGGACCUUCGGGCCUCGCGCGAUUGGAGCGGCCGAUGGCAGAUUAGGUAGUUGGUGGGAUAAAAGCUUACCAAGCCGACGAUCUGUAGCUGGUCUGAGAGGACGACCAGCCACACUGGGACUGAGACACGGCCCAG
RNAcentral lists this ribosomal RNA (302 nucleotides) under uncultured bacterium. RNAcentral describes it as "bacterial SSU rRNA". It matches the Rfam family "Bacterial small subunit ribosomal RNA", at positions 28 to 334 of the family's 1533-position model. The record is from RNAcentral.